This 182-nucleotide unclassified non-coding RNA is filed under the name uncultured Inocybe. RNAcentral describes it as "sequence contains ITS2". The record is from RNAcentral. Lineage: Eukaryota; Fungi; Basidiomycota; Agaricomycetes; Agaricales; Cortinariaceae.
AAAUUCUCAAACCACAUUUUGUGAUGUGGAUUUGGAUGUGGGGGAAUGUUUUGCAGGCGACCUUUGGAAGUCUGCUCCCCUGAAAUGCAUUAGUGGUAUCUGAGCCUUCAGGUGUGAUAAAUUUAUCUAUGCCUGCUUGCAUUGAACAGAUUGCACCGCUUCAAACAAACGGUUCUUUUGUU